UCCUCCGUGGCGCAAUUGGCUAGCGCGUCUGACUGUUACUGUGUGUUCCACACAACCGCAAAUCAGGAGGUUGGUGGUUCGAGCCCACCCGGGGGAG
Trichodelitschia bisporula is the source of this 97-nucleotide non-coding RNA. Lineage: Eukaryota; Fungi; Ascomycota; Dothideomycetes; Phaeotrichales; Phaeotrichaceae. The record is from the annotation of a GenBank genome assembly.